UUCGUAUUCCUCCGUCCAACAAAAGAUGUCUCAAAAUUGUCAAAAUUUGAAUGUAUCUAGACAUGACUUAAUAUAUAGAUGCAUUCAAAUUUGGUCAAAGUUGAGACAUCUUUUGUUGGACGAAGGGAGUAGCUU
Molecule: non-coding RNA, 135 nt
Organism: Brachypodium distachyon (stiff brome)
Lineage: Eukaryota; Viridiplantae; Streptophyta; Magnoliopsida; Poales; Poaceae
Source: Rfam